GACGAACGCUGGCGGCGUGCUUAACACAUGCCAGUCGAACGGAAAGGCCCUGCUUUUGUGGGGUGCUCGAGUGGCGAACGGGUGAGUAACACGUGAGUAACCUGCCCUUGACUUUGGGAUAACUUCAGGAAACUGGGGCUAAUACCGGAUAGGAGCUCCUGCUGCAUGGUGGGGGUUGGAAAGUUUCGGCGGUUGGGGAUGGACUGGCGGCUUAUCAGCUUGUUGGUGGGGUAGUGGCUUACCAAGGCUUUGACGGGUAGCCGGCCUGAGAGGGUGACCGGCCACAUUGGGACUGAGAUACGGCCCAGACUCCUACGGGAGGCAGCAGUGGGGAAUAUUGCACAAUGGGCGGAAGCCUGAUGCAGCAACGCCGCGUGCGGGAUGACGGCCUUCGGGUUGUAAACCGCUUUCGCCUGUGACGAAGCGUGAGUGACGGUAAUGGGUAAAGAAGCACCGGCUAACUACGUG
This 468-nucleotide ribosomal RNA is filed under the name uncultured bacterium. RNAcentral's name for it is "partial 16S ribosomal RNA". It matches the Rfam family "Bacterial small subunit ribosomal RNA", at positions 28 to 507 of the family's 1533-position model. The record is from RNAcentral.